RNAcentral lists this ribosomal RNA (846 nucleotides) under uncultured bacterium. RNAcentral's name for it is "partial 16S ribosomal RNA". It matches the Rfam family "Bacterial small subunit ribosomal RNA", at positions 667 to 1533 of the family's 1533-position model. The record is from RNAcentral.
UGUGUGGUGUAGCGGUGAAAUNCUUAGAUAUCACACAGAACACCGAUUGCGAAGNCAGCACACUAAGUUAUUAUUGACGCUGAGGCACGAAAGUGUGGGGAUCAANCAGGAUUAGAUACCNUGNUAGUCCACACUGUAAACGAUGAUAACUCGCUGUCGGCGAUACACAGUCGGUGNCCAAGCGAAAGCAUUNANUUAUCCACCUGGGGAGUACGNCCGCAAGGUUGANACUCAAAGGAAUUGACGGGGGCCCNCACAAGCGGAGGAACAUGUGGUUUAAUUCGAUGAUACGCGAGGAACCUUACCNGGGCUCGAACGGUGCAUGAAUAUACGAGAGAUUGUAUAGUCCUUCGGGACAUGUAUCGAGGUGCUGCAUGGUUGUCGUCAGCUCGUGCCGUGAGGUGUCGNNUUAAGUGCCAUAACGAGCGCAACCCUUGUCAUUAGUUGCCAUCAGGUCAAGCUGGGGACAUUAAUGAGACUGCCACCGUAAGGUGUGAGGAAGGGGGGGAUGACNUCAAAUCAGCACGGCCCUUAUGUCCGGGGCGACNCACGUGUUACAAUNGGAGGUACAGAGGGCAGCUAUCCGGUGNCGGAAUGNUAAUCUCCAAAACCUUUCUCAGUUCGGAUUGGAGUCUGCAACUCGANUNCAUGAAGGUGGAUUCNCUAGUAAUCGCGCAUCAGCCAUGGCGCGGUGAAUACGUUCCCGGGCCUUGUACACACCGCCCGUCAAGCCAUGGAACGCUUGGGGUGCCUGAAGUUCGUGACCGCAAGGAGCGACCUAAGGCAAAAACAGGUAACUGGGGCUAAGUCGUAANCAAGGUAACCGAAAGGGCAAUUCGUAACUCG